This is a long non-coding RNA of Oncorhynchus tshawytscha (Chinook salmon), 886 nucleotides long. The record is from Ensembl. Lineage: Eukaryota; Metazoa; Chordata; Actinopteri; Salmoniformes; Salmonidae.
AGAUGAUAUGUCCCUAACAUCCACAUCAAUGCCAUCUCAUCCUGUUUCCCUAACAUCCACAUCAAUACCAUCUCAUCCUGUUCCAUCUAGAUGAUAUGUCCCUAACAUCCACAUCAAUGCCAUCUCAUCCUAUGUCCCUAACAUCCACAUCAAUACCAUCUCAUCCUGUUUCCCUAACAUCUACAUCAAUACCAUCUCAUCCUAUGUCCCUAACAUCCACAUCAAUACCAUCUCAUCCUGUUUCCCUAACAUCCACAUCAAUGCCAUCUCAUCCUGUUUCCCUAACAUCCACAUCAAUGCCAUCUCAUCCUGUUCCAUCUAGAUGAUAUGUCCCUAACAUCCACAUCAAUGCCAUGUCAUCCUGUUUCCCUAACAUCCACACCAAUACCAUCUCAUCCUGUUCCAUCUAGAUGUCCCUAACAUCCACAUCAAUACCAUCUCAUCCUGUUUCCCUAACAUCCACAUCAAGGCCAUCUUAUCCUGUUCCCUAACAUCCACAUCAAUGCCAUCUCAUCCUGUUCCAUCUAGAUGAUAUGUCCCUAACAUCCACAUCAAUACCAUCUCAUCCUGUUUCCCUAACAUCCACAUCAAUACCAUCUCAUCCUGUUCCAUCUAGAUGAUAUGUCCCUAACAUCCACAUCAAUACCAUCUCAUCCUGUUCCAUCUAGAUGAUAUGUCCCUAACAUCCACAUCAAUGCCAUCUCAUCCUGUUCCAUCUAGAUGAUAUGUCCCUAACAUCCACAUCAAUACCAUCUCAUCCUGUUCCAUCUAGAUGAUAUGUCCCUAACAUCCACAUCAAUGCCAUCUCAUCCUGUUCCAUUUAGAUGAUGUCACUUUGAUGGCAACAUGAUGUCAGCGUGUAACAUUACCACAUAACAACAGGGUG